RNAcentral lists this small nuclear RNA (94 nucleotides) under Procavia capensis (Cape rock hyrax). The record is from RNAcentral. Lineage: Eukaryota; Metazoa; Chordata; Mammalia; Hyracoidea; Procaviidae.
GUGCCCACUUGGGUAGCACAUACACUGAAGUUGGAAUGACACAGGGAAGGUUGACAUGGCCUCUGUGCAAGAGUAACAUGCAUUCCACAUUUUU